CUUUAACCACUUUUUUCUUGACAGCAUGCAGCUUGAUGUAAGAAACGUGCGCCCGUUUACUGAUGACUUGGCUUUGGAGAGAGGAGAGGAUCUCCCGGCCGACUCUCCCUGUGUCUCCUGUGUCCACACCUCAUCUCAGCUGGACCGAGGGUCUGCUCUAGUGGGACCUGAA
RNAcentral lists this long non-coding RNA (172 nucleotides) under Camelus dromedarius (Arabian camel). RNAcentral's name for it is "lncRNA (ENSCDRG00005017878.1)". Lineage: Eukaryota; Metazoa; Chordata; Mammalia; Artiodactyla; Camelidae. The record is from RNAcentral.